RNAcentral lists this transfer RNA (67 nucleotides) under Marmota monax (woodchuck). RNAcentral describes it as "tRNA.Ala". The record is from RNAcentral. Lineage: Eukaryota; Metazoa; Chordata; Mammalia; Rodentia; Sciuridae.
GGUUGUGGCUCAUUGGUAGAGUGCUGGCCUUGCAUGCAUGGGGCACUGGGUUCUAUUCUCAGCACCA